RNAcentral lists this transfer RNA (75 nucleotides) under Acidimicrobiia bacterium. Its description in RNAcentral is "tRNA-Thr". It matches the Rfam family "tRNA". Rfam says of the family: Transfer RNA (tRNA) molecules are approximately 80 nucleotides in length. The record is from RNAcentral. Lineage: Bacteria; Bacillati; Actinomycetota; Acidimicrobiia.
GCCGAAGUAGCUCAGGGGUAGAGCAGCUCACUCGUAAUGAGCAGGUCAGGGGUUCGAAUCCCCUCUUCGGCUCCA